Molecule: ribosomal RNA, 812 nt
Filed under: uncultured marine bacterium
Lineage: Bacteria
Description: bacterial SSU rRNA
Rfam family: Bacterial small subunit ribosomal RNA
Source: RNAcentral
GCCAGCAGCCGCGGUAAUACGGAGGGUGCGAGCGUUAAUCGGAAUUACUGGGCGUAAAGCGUACGCAGGCGGUUUGUUAAGCGAGAUGUGAAAGCCCCGGGCUCAACCUGGGAACUGCAUUUCGAACUGGCAAACUAGAGUGUGAUAGAGGGUGGUAGAAUUUCAGGUGUAGCGGUGAAAUGCGUAGAGAUCUGAAGGAAUACCGAUGGCGAAGGCAGCCACCUGGGUCGACACUGACGCUCAUGUACGAAAGCGUGGGGAGCAAACGGGAUUAGAUACCCCGGUAGUCCACGCCGUAAACGAUGUCUACUAGAAGCUCGGAGCCUCGGUUCUGUUUUUCAAAGCUAACGCAUUAAGUAGACCGCCUGGGGAGUACGGCCGCAAGGUUAAAACUCAAAUGAAUUGACGGGGGCCCGCACAAGCGGUGGAGCAUGUGGUUUAAUUCGAUGCAACGCGAAGAACCUUACCUACACUUGACAUACAGAGAACUUACCAGAGAUGGUUUGGUGCCUUCGGGAACUCUGAUACAGGUGCUGCAUGGCUGUCGUCAGCUCGUGUUGUGAGAUGUUGGGUUAAGUCCCGUAACGAGCGCAACCCCUAUCCUUAGUUGCUAGCAGGUAAUGCUGAGAACUCUAAGGAGACUGCCGGUGAUAAACCGGAGGAAGGUGGGGACGACGUCAAGUCAUCAUGGCCCUUACGUGUAGGGCUACACACGUGCUACAAUGGCGCAUACAGAGUGCUGCGAACCUGCGAAGGUAAGCGAAUCACUUAAAGUGCGUCGUAGUCCGGAUUGGAGUCUGCAACUCGACUCC